UAUUGCACAAUGGGGGAAACCCUGAUGCAGCGACGCCGCGUGAGCGAUGAAGCCCUUCGGGGUGUAAAGCUCUUUCGGCAGGGACGAUUAUGACGGUACCUGCAGAAGCAGCUGCGGCUAACUACGUGCCAGCAGCCGCGGUAAUACGUAGGCAGCAAGCGUUGUUCGGAAUUACUGGGCGUAAAGGGUGCGUAGGCGGCUUUUUAAGUUUGUCGUGAAAUCUCCCGGCUCAACCGGAGGGUGCGGCGAUACUAGAGCAGAGUGUGGGGAGAAAGUGAAUUCCUGGUGAGCGGUAAAUGCGAGUUCAGAGAACACCGGUGGUGUAACGCUUUCUGGCAAACUGCGUGGACAGAUCA
Molecule: ribosomal RNA, 356 nt
Filed under: uncultured bacterium
Lineage: Bacteria
Description: bacterial SSU rRNA
Rfam family: Bacterial small subunit ribosomal RNA
Source: RNAcentral